GGGACACGUGGUAUCCUGUCUGAAUAUGGGGGGACCAUCCUCCAAGGCUAAAUACUCCUGACUGACCGAUAGUGAACCAGUACCGUGAGGGAAAGGCGAAAAGAACCCCGGCGAGGGGAGUGAAAAAGAACCUGAAACCGUGUACGUACAAGCAGUAGGAGCCCACUAGUUGGGUGACUGCGUACCUUUUGUAUAAUGGGUCAGCGACUUAUAUUCUGUAGCAAGGUUAACCGUAUAGGGGAGCCGCAGGGAAACCGAGUCUUAACUGGGCGUUAAGUUGCAGGGUAUAGACCCGAAACCCGGUGAUCUAGCCAUGGGCAGGUUGAAGGUUGGGUAACACUAACUGGAGGACCGAACCGACUAAUGUUGAAAAAUUAGCGGAUGACUUGUGGCUGGGGGUGAAAGGCCAAUCAAACCGGGAGAUAGCUGGUUCUCCCCGAAAGCUAUUUAGGUAGCGCCUCGUGAACUCAUCUUCGGGGGUAGAGCACUGUUUCGGCUAGGGGGUCAUCCCGACUUACCAACCCGAUGCAAACUACGAAUACCGAAGAAUGUUAUCACGGGAGACACACGGCGGGUGCUAACGUCCGUCGUGAAGAGGGAAACAACCCAGACCGCCAGCUAAGGUCCCAAAGUCAUGGUUAAGUGGGAAACGAUGUGGGAAGGCCCAGACAGCCAGGAUGUUGGCUUAGAAGCAGCCAUCAUUUAAAGAAAGCGUAAUAGCUCACUGGUCGAGUCGGCCUGCGCGGAAGAUGUAACGGGGCUAAACCAUGCACCGAAGCUGCGGCAGCGACGCUUAUGCGUUGUUGGGUAGGGGAGCGUUCUGUAAGCCGUUGAAGGUGGCCUGUGAGGGUUGCUGGAGGUAUCAGAAGUGCGAAUGCUGACAUAAGUAACGAUAAUGCGGGUGAAAAACCCGCACGCCGGAAGACCAAGGGUUCCUGUCCAACGUUAAUCGGGGCAGGGUGAGUCGACCCCUAAGGCGAGGCCGAAAGGCGUAGUCGAUGGGAAACAGGUUAAUAUUCCUGUACUCGGUGUUACUGCGAAGGGGGGACGGAGAAGGCUAUGUUGGCCGGGCGACGGUUGUCCCGGUUUAAGCAUGUAGGCGGAUGUUCCAGGUAAAUCCGGAACGUUAUUAACGCUGAGGUGUGAUGACGAGGCACUACGGUGCUGAAGUGACAAAUGCCCUGCUUCCAGGAAAAGCCUCUAAGCAUCAGGUAACAUCAAAUCGUACCCCAAACCGACACAGGUGGUCAGGUAGAGAAUACCAAGGCGCUUGAGAGAACUCGGGUGAAGGAACUAGGCAAAAUGGUGCCGUAACUUCGGGAGAAGGCACGCUGAUGGUAGGUGAAGUGACUUGCUCAUGGAGCUGAAAUCAGUCGAAGAUACCAGCUGGCUGCAACUGUUUAUUAAAAACACAGCACUGUGCAAACACGAAAGUGGACGUAUACGGUGUGACGCCUGCCCGGUGCCGGAAGGUUAAUUGAUGGGGUUAUCCGUAAGGAGAAGCUCUUGAUCGAAGCCCCGGUAAACGGCGGCCGUAACUAUAACGGUCCUAAGGUAGCGAAAUUCCUUGUCGGGUAAGUUCCGACCUGCACGAAUGGCGUAAUGAUGGCCAGGCUGUCUCCACCCGAGACUCAGUGAAAUUGAACUCGCUGUGAAGAUGCAGUGUACCCGCGGCAAGACGGAAAGACCCCGUGAACCUUUACUAUAGCUUGACACUGAACACUGGUCCUUGAUGUGUAGGAUAGGUGGGAGGCUUUGAAGUGUGGACGCCAGUCUGCAUGGAGCCAUCCUUGAAAUACCACCCUUUAAUGG
Molecule: ribosomal RNA, 1812 nt
Filed under: Klebsiella michiganensis
Lineage: Bacteria; Pseudomonadati; Pseudomonadota; Gammaproteobacteria; Enterobacterales; Enterobacteriaceae
Description: partial 23S ribosomal RNA
Rfam family: Bacterial large subunit ribosomal RNA
Source: RNAcentral